GGUUAAGCGACUAAGCGUACACGGUGGAUGCCCUGGCAGUCAGAGGCGAUGAAGGACGUGCUAAUCUGCGAAAAGCGUCGGUAAGGUGAUAUGAACCGUUACAGCCGGCGAUGUCCGAAUGGGGAAACCCAGUGCAAUUCGUUGCACUAUCGUUAACUGAAUACAUAGGUUAACGAGGCGAACCGGGGGAACUGAAACAUCUAAGUACCCCGAGGAAAAGAAAUCAACCGAGAUUCCCCCAGUAGCGGCGAGCGAACGGGGAGCAGCCCAGAGUCUGAAUCAGCUUGUGUGUUAGUGGAACGGUCUGGAAAGUCCGACGGUACAGGGUGAUAGUCCCGUACACCAAAAUGCACAGGCUGUGAACUCGAAGAGUAGGGCGGGACACGUGGUAUCCUGUCUGAAUAUGGGGGGACCAUCCUCCAAGGCUAAAUACUCCUGACUGACCGAUAGUGAACCAGUACCGUGAGGGAAAGGCGAAAAGAACCCCGGCGAGGGGAGUGAAAAAGAACCUGAAACCGUGUACGUACAAGCAGUGGGAGCACCUUCGGGUGUGACUGCGUACCUUUUGUAUAAUGGGUCAGCGACUUAUAUUCUGUAGCAAGGUUAACCGUAUAGGGGAGCCGCAGGGAAACCGAGUCUUAACUGGGCGUUAAGUUGCAGGGUAUAGACCCGAAACCCGGUGAUCUAGCCAUGGGCAGGUUGAAGGUUGGGUAACACUAACUGGAGGACCGAACCGACUAAUGUUGAAAAAUUAGCGGAUGACUUGUGGCUGGGGGUGAAAGGCCAAUCAAACCGGGAGAUAGCUGGUUCUCCCCGAAAGCUAUUUAGGUAGCGCCUCGUGAACUCAUCUUCGGGGGUAGAGCACUGUUUCGGCUAGGGGGUCAUCCCGACUUACCAACCCGAUGCAAACUACGAAUACCGAAGAAUGUUAUCACGGGAGACACACGGCGGGUGCUAACGUCCGUCGUGAAGAGGGAAACAACCCAGACCGCCAGCUAAGGUCCCAAAGUCAUGGUUAAGUGGGAAACGAUGUGGGAAGGCACAGACAGCCAGGAUGUUGGCUUAGAAGCAGCCAUCAUUUAAAGAAAGCGUAAUAGCUCACUGGUCGAGUCGGCCUGCGCGGAAGAUGUAACGGGGCUAAACCAUGCACCGAAGCUGCGGCAGCGACACUAUGUGUUGUUGGGUAGGGGAGCGUUCUGUAAGCCUGCGAAGGUGUGCUGUGAGGCAUGCUGGAGGUAUCAGAAGUGCGAAUGCUGACAUAAGUAACGAUAAAGCGGGUGAAAAGCCCGCUCGCCGGAAGACCAAGGGUUCCUGUCCAACGUUAAUCGGGGCAGGGUGAGUCGACCCCUAAGGCGAGGCCGAAAGGCGUAGUCGAUGGGAAACAGGUUAAUAUUCCUGUACUUGGUGUUACUGCGAAGGGGGGACGGAGAAGGCUAUGUUAGCCGGGCGACGGUUGUCCCGGUUUAAGCAUGUAGGCUGGUUGUCCAGGCAAAUCCGGAUAAUCAAGGCUGAGGUGUGAUGACGAGGCACUACGGUGCUGAAGUAACAAAUGCCCUGCUUCCAGGAAAAGCCUCUAAGCAUCAGGUAACAUUAAAUCGUACCCCAAACCGACACAGGUGGUCAGGUAGAGAAUACCAAGGCGCUUGAGAGAACUCGGGUGAAGGAACUAGGCAAAAUGGUGCCGUAACUUCGGGAGAAGGCACGCUGGUGUGUAGGUGAAGCCCCUGCGGGUGGAGCUGAGACCAGUCGAAGAUACCAGCUGGCUGCAACUGUUUAUUAAAAACACAGCACUGUGCAAACACGAAAGUGGACGUAUACGGUGUGACGCCUGCCCGGUGCCGGAAGGUUAAUUGAUGGGGUUAUCCGUAAGGAGAAGCUCUUGAUCGAAGCCCCGGUAAACGGCGGCCGUAACUAUAACGGUCCUAAGGUAGCGAAAUUCCUUGUCGGGUAAGUUCCGACCUGCACGAAUGGCGUAAUGAUGGCCAGGCUGUCUCCACCCGAGACUCAGUGAAAUUGAACUCGCUGUGAAGAUGCAGUGUACCCGCGGCAAGACGGAAAGACCCCGUGAACCUUUACUAUAGCUUGACACUGAACAUUGAGCCUUGAUGUGUAGGAUAGGUGGGAGGCUUUGAAGCGUGGACGCCAGUCUGCGUGGAGCCAACCUUGAAAUACCACCCUUUAAUGUUUGAUGUUCUAACGUUGGCCCCUGACCGGGGUUGCGGACAGUGUCUGGUGGGUAGUUUGACUGGGGCGGUCUCCUCCCAAAGCGUAACGGAGGAGCACGAAGGUUAGCUAAUCCUGGUCGGACAUCAGGAGGUUAGUGCAAUGGCAUAAGCUAGCUUGACUGCGAGCGUGACGGCGCGAGCAGGUGCGAAAGCAGGUCAUAGUGAUCCGGUGGUUCUGAAUGGAAGGGCCAUCGCUCAACGGAUAAAAGGUACUCCGGGGAUAACAGGCUGAUACCGCCCAAGAGUUCAUAUCGACGGCGGUGUUUGGCACCUCGAUGUCGGCUCAUCACAUCCUGGGGCUGAAGUAGGUCCCAAGGGUAUGGCUGUUCGCCAUUUAAAGUGGUACGCGAGCUGGGUUUAGAACGUCGUGAGACAGUUCGGUCCCUAUCUGCCGUGGGCGCUGGAGAAUUGAGGGGGGCUGCUCCUAGUACGAGAGGACCGGAGUGGACGCAUCACUGGUGUUCGGGUUGUCAUGCCAAUGGCACUGCCCGGUAGCUAAAUGCGGAAGAGAUAAGUGCUGAAAGCAUCUAAGCACGAAACUUGCCCCGAGAUGAGUUCUCCCUGAGACUUUAAGUCUCCUGAAGGAACGUUAAAGACGAUGACGUUGAUAGGCCGGGUGUGUAAGCGCAGCGAUGCGUUGAGCUAACCGGUACUAAUGAACCGUGAGGCUUAACCUU
This 2902-nucleotide ribosomal RNA is filed under the name Klebsiella pneumoniae. RNAcentral describes it as "23S ribosomal RNA". It matches the Rfam family "Bacterial large subunit ribosomal RNA". Lineage: Bacteria; Pseudomonadati; Pseudomonadota; Gammaproteobacteria; Enterobacterales; Enterobacteriaceae. The record is from RNAcentral.